RNAcentral lists this ribosomal RNA (221 nucleotides) under uncultured Thermotogae bacterium. RNAcentral's name for it is "partial 16S ribosomal RNA". It matches the Rfam family "Bacterial small subunit ribosomal RNA", at positions 652 to 875 of the family's 1533-position model. Lineage: Bacteria; Thermotogati; Thermotogota; Thermotogae. The record is from RNAcentral.
AAGAGGUCCACGGAAUUACCCGAGUAGGGUGAAUCCGAAUACGGUAGGAACGCCGGUGGAGAAGUUUUCCUAAAAGGAAGGGGACCUAACGCUGAGGGCCGAAAGCUAGGGGAGCAAACCGGAUUAAAUACCCGGGUAGUCCUAGCCGUAAACGAUGCUCCCUAGGGGUAGGGAGUGAUAAACUCUCUGUGAUGAAGCGAACGCGCUAAAUGACCCGCCUG